Molecule: ribosomal RNA, 253 nt
Filed under: uncultured bacterium
Lineage: Bacteria
Description: partial 16S ribosomal RNA
Rfam family: Bacterial small subunit ribosomal RNA
Source: RNAcentral
UACGGGGGGGGCAAGCGUUGUUCGGAAUUACUGGGCGUAAAGGGCUCGUAGGCGGCCAACUAAGUCGGACGUGAAAUCCCCAGGCUCAACCUGGGAACUGCGUCCGAUACUGGAUGGCUUGAAUCCGGGAGAGGGAUGCAGAAUUCCUGGUGUAGCGGUGAAAUGCGCAGAUAUCGGGAGGAACACCAAUGGCGAAGGCAGCUUGCUGGGACGGUACUGACGCUGAGGCGCGAAAGCGUGGGGAGCAAACAGG